This 254-nucleotide ribosomal RNA is filed under the name uncultured bacterium. RNAcentral's name for it is "partial 16S ribosomal RNA". It matches the Rfam family "Bacterial small subunit ribosomal RNA", at positions 524 to 776 of the family's 1533-position model. The record is from RNAcentral.
UACGGGGGGGGCAAGCGUUGUUCGGAAUUACUGGGCGUAAAGGGCUCGUAGACGGCCAACUAAGUCAUACGUGAAAUCCCUCGGCUUAACCGGGGAACUGCGUCUGAUACUGGAUGGCUUGAGUUCGGGAGAGGGAUGCGGAAUUCCAGGUGUAGCGGUGAAAUGCGUAGAUAUCAAGAGGAACACCUGAGGUGAAGACGGGUUGCUGGGCCGACACUGACGCUGACAGCGCGAAAGCCAGGGGAGCAAACGGG